AUAUUCGGGUUAUUCUGCAGAUCGUAUAAAUCUUUCGCCUUUUACUAAAGAUUUCCUUGGAGAGGAACAACAACAACAACAACAACAACAAAUAUGGGAGAAAAAGAAAUGAAUUUCUU
Small nuclear RNA from Marmota flaviventris (yellow-bellied marmot), 119 nucleotides. RefSeq annotates it as U5 spliceosomal RNA. The record is from RefSeq and is a predicted model, not a curated record. NCBI's taxonomy places the organism in Eukaryota, Metazoa, Chordata, Mammalia, Rodentia, Sciuridae.